RNAcentral lists this long non-coding RNA (486 nucleotides) under Chinchilla lanigera (long-tailed chinchilla). Its description in RNAcentral is "lncRNA (ENSCLAG00000026953.1)". Lineage: Eukaryota; Metazoa; Chordata; Mammalia; Rodentia; Chinchillidae. The record is from RNAcentral.
AGACACAUUACUUUUCUUAGAGUAGAACACGUUAGAGUUUGAGUGAUGGCAGUUUAGAGGAAAUCAGAAUAUUAGAAGUUUACCCUCAAGGAACAAGUGUAAAGAAUAUCCUACAGAAAAGGUGACAAAUAUAUGCCAUUUCCAUGUUCUCGUCACACACUAGACAGUACUACAGGAGUCAUCUUUCCUGUAGAACCAGUCUCACAGCCCUGCAAGCUUCCUCAUCUGGGAGUCCUUAUCCAUUGACCAGAGUUGGCCUGAGAAAGAAAAUCUGCUUGUUAUCUGUCUUACAAGAGAAAAAACAGAAUGAACAGUGAAUAAAUCUGUCUGGCCUGAAUGAGCCUCCCAAGGAUUCUCAAUCUAAGCCAUCCAAAAAGGAAUUUGUAAGAUUUUUUUAAAAAGCUAAAUAAAAACUAAGAAUAAUAAAUAAAGGACAUUAUUCACUGAAAAGUAUAAUCACUUUAAUAAAAUUAAUUUUUAAAAAAU